RNAcentral lists this ribosomal RNA (520 nucleotides) under uncultured Glomus. RNAcentral's name for it is "SSU rRNA". It matches the Rfam family "Eukaryotic small subunit ribosomal RNA", at positions 569 to 1084 of the family's 1831-position model. The record is from RNAcentral. Lineage: Eukaryota; Fungi; Glomeromycota; Glomeromycetes; Glomerales; Glomeraceae.
AGCAGCCGCGGUAAUUCCAGCUCCAAUAGCGUAUAUUAAAGUUGUUGCAGUUAAAAAGCUCGUAGUUGAAUUUCGGGAUCAGUACGCUGGUCGUGCCUUCGGUAUGUACUGGUGUUACUGGUUCCUACCUUCUGACGAACCGUCAUGUCAUUAAUUUGGUGUGGCGGGGAAUCAGGACUGUUACUUUGAAAAAAUUGAGUGUUUAAAGCAGGCUCGCGCUUGAAUACAUUAGCAUGGAAUAAUGAAAUAGGACGUUCGGUCCUAUUUUGUGGUUUCUAGGAUUGACGUAAUGAUUAAUAGGGAUAGUUGGGGGCAUUAGUAUUCAAUUGUCAGAGGUGAAAUUCUGGAUUUAUUGAAGCUAACUACUGCGAAAGCAUUUGCCAAGGAUGUUUCAUUAAUCAAGAACGAAAGUUAGGGAUACGGAAGACGAUCAGAUACCGUGUAGUCGUUAAACCAUUAAACUAUAGCCGUACUAGGGAUCGGAAUGGAUUGUUAAUUUUUUAAUGUACUUCAAUUCGGG